UCAAUUAUUGUUCAUGUUAAGAUUAUUAUAUUAAAUGGAACAUGGAGCGACCACUUGGGAAAACAUGCUACCACAAUGGUGGAAUGGGACGCCCUUGGCUGAAUAAUUAGGAAAGCUAGUGUGAGUUAAUCCUUUCUCGAAAAGGGCAAGCGGGGUGCAAUUGUGCAAGUGUAGGGAGGUCCUCGGAUCGGACUAUCUUUUUAGCUUUCCGGACGAGGGAUUCCUACAUCGCCUUUGGCCCGGAAUCCGUAGCAGGUUCUCUCCUCUAGUGGAACUUUGUAAAGGCAUCGUAGUGGAUCCCUAGCCAUUCACCUUAGAAAUGUCUAAGGGUCUAGCUAACCCUGGCUAAUUGGGAAACACGUCUUGUGGGUAAAGAUGCGCAACCACUGUAGAGUGUAAAACUGAUAUAUCAACUGUGCUCAUGGUCAUGAGCGGCUCAGACCCUCACAUGAGUAACUUAAGUUGUGCUCACCCUUUCUAUACUCACAUCUCCCCCAAGUCAAGUACAGGUACCACAAGAUAAGAAGCAUGAUGGAUGCCGCGAUGAGUUCAUGAGUGGUCUAGGCCGUCGUCUCCC
Molecule: long non-coding RNA, 577 nt
Filed under: Zea mays
Lineage: Eukaryota; Viridiplantae; Streptophyta; Magnoliopsida; Poales; Poaceae
Description: drought responsive lncRNA
Source: RNAcentral